UGGUUCUGGCAUNGAUGAAGAACGCAGCGAAAUGCGAUAAGUAAUGCGAAUUGCAGAAUCCGUGAGUCAUCGAAUCUUUGAACGCAUAUUGCGCCCUUUGGUAUUCCGAAGGGCAUGCCUGUUCGAGCGUCAUUAUCACCUCUCAAGCUCGGCUUGCUGUUGGACUCUAGGUCUUGCUUUAGCCAUGACCGGUCCCAAAGAUAAUGACGGCGUCUGUGAGGACCCCAGUACAUUGAGCUUUUACAGCACGUAUUAGGUGGAAGUCCAGGCCCGGUCUUAAUUUUUUCUCUUUUAAGGUUGACCUCGGAUCAGGUAGGAAUACCCGCUGA
RNAcentral lists this unclassified non-coding RNA (329 nucleotides) under uncultured fungus. RNAcentral describes it as "partial contains 5.8S ribosomal RNA and internal transcribed spacer 2". The stretch from base 1 to 132 matches the Rfam family "5.8S ribosomal RNA", at positions 22 to 154 of the family's 154-position model. The record is from RNAcentral. Lineage: Eukaryota; Fungi.